RNAcentral lists this ribosomal RNA (441 nucleotides) under uncultured bacterium. RNAcentral describes it as "bacterial SSU rRNA". It matches the Rfam family "Bacterial small subunit ribosomal RNA", at positions 355 to 807 of the family's 1533-position model. The record is from RNAcentral.
UGGGGAAUCUUGGACAAUGGGGGCAACCCUGAUCCAGCCAUGCCGCGUGAGUGAUGAAGGCCUUAGGGUCGUAAAGCUCUUUCGCCUGUGAAGAUAAUGACGGUAGCAGGUAAAGAAACCCCGGCUAACUCCGUGCCAGCAGCCGCGGUAAUACGGAGGGGGUUAGCGUUGUUCGGAAUUACUGGGCGUAAAGCGCACGUAGGCGGACCAGAAAGUUGGGGGUGAAAUCCCGGGGGCUCAACCCCGGAACUGCCUCCAAAACUAUUGGUCUAGAGUUCGAGAGAGGUGAGUGGAAUUCCAAGUGUAGAGGUGAAAUUCGUAGAUAUUUGGAGGAACACCAGUGGCGAAGGCGGCUCACUGGCUCGAUACUGACGCUGAGGGUGCGAAAAGUGUGGGGAGCAAAACAGGAUUUAGAUACCCCUGGUAGUCCACACCGUAAAA